Molecule: ribosomal RNA, 631 nt
Filed under: Campylobacter jejuni
Lineage: Bacteria; Pseudomonadati; Campylobacterota; Epsilonproteobacteria; Campylobacterales; Campylobacteraceae
Description: bacterial SSU rRNA
Rfam family: Bacterial small subunit ribosomal RNA
Source: RNAcentral
GUGGCGCACGGGUGAGUAAGGUAUAGUUAAUCUGCCCUACACAAGAGGACAACAGUUGGAAACGACUGCUAAUACUCUAUACUCCUGCUUAACACAAGUUGAGUAGGGAAAGUUUUUCGGUGUAGGAUGAGACUAUAUAGUAUCAGCUAGUUGGUAAGGUAAUGGCUUACCAAGGCUAUGACGCUUAACUGGUCUGAGAGGAUGAUCAGUCACACUGGAACUGAGACACGGUCCAGACUCCUACGGGAGGCAGCAGUAGGGAAUAUUGCGCAAUGGGGGAAACCCUGACGCAGCAACGCCGCGUGGAGGAUGACACUUUUCGGAGCGUAAACUCCUUUUCUUAGGGAAGAAUUCUGACGGUACCUAAGGAAUAAGCACCGGCUAACUCCGUGCCAGCAGCCGCGGUAAUACGGAGGGUGCAAGCGUUACUCGGAAUCACUGGGCGUAAAGGGCGCGUAGGCGGAUUAUCAAGUCUCUUGUGAAAUCUAAUGGCUUAACCAUUAAACUGCUUGGGAAACUGAUAGUCUAGAGUGAGGGAGAGGCAGAUGGAAUUGGUGGUGUAGGGGUAAAAUCCGUAGAUAUCACCAAGAAUACCCAUUGCGAAGGCGAUCUGCUGGAACUCAACUGACGC